UAAGUGCGAUAAGUAAUGUGAAUUGCAGAAUACCGUGAAUCAUCGAAUCUUUGAACGCAUAUUGCACUCUCUGGAAUUCCGGAGAGUAUGCCUGUUUGAGGGUCAGUUAAAAAAAAUCAAGCGUUAUUGCUUUUGUGGUGACGUUUGGAUUUGAGUCGUCUUAACCUUUCGGUCAAGUGACUUAAAAUUUUAACAUGAUUUUCGAAACGUAUUUAAUAUUUUUACGUACGUUUGCGAUAUCAAUCUAUUAGAUGUGGUCAUCUUCCAUGAUUCGCGUCUAUAGUUUCUCAUUAAAUGACCUCAAAUCAGGUAAGAAUACCCGCUGAACUUAAGC
This 334-nucleotide unclassified non-coding RNA is filed under the name plant metagenome. RNAcentral describes it as "partial contains 5.8S ribosomal RNA, internal transcribed spacer 2, and large subunit ribosomal RNA". The stretch from base 1 to 105 matches the Rfam family "5.8S ribosomal RNA", at positions 50 to 154 of the family's 154-position model. The record is from RNAcentral.